CUCUCAAGCCCCGCCACCCCCUCCCCGCGCCCAAACCCCCGUCUACCCCUAAUCCCUCCUGUCCUCUCCCUCUCACGCGCCGCCACACCGAUCCCUCCGCCGCAAUCGCAUCCGUGCUCGGCCAAAUCGGCGCCACCGCCGUCGCUGCUGCCCUCGACUGCCGCCACUCGGCCGUCGUCGCGUCCGUUGUCUCGCCGCCACCGAUGACUGAUCCCCGCCGCCGGCUCGCCCUCAACCGAUCCCCAACACUGUCGUCCAGGAUUCGCCUGAGCCCUCGACUGCUGCCACUCCGCCGUCGUCGCGUCCGUCGUCUCGCCGCCACCGAUCCCCGCGCCACCGCCGUCGCCGUCGUCGCGUCCGUCAUAUCGCCGCCACCGAUCCCCGCCGCCGGCUCGCCCUCAACCGAUCCCCAUCUCCGUCGUCGCAUCCGUCGUUGUCCAGGAUUCACGUUGCCGCCGACGCCUUCCGUCAGCUGGUCGCCGCCGACACCUUCCGCGCAGAUCUCCUCCACGCCUCCCUCAGGUCGUUGCCGGUGUGGAUCAGGACUCAGGAGGCCAGCCUCGACACACUGCGCUACACAGCCGCCGGCCUUUGCUGCUCCUGUUGCAUGGAUCUAGCGGUGGGAUUUGCAAUAGGGACGGCGAUGUGCCCUGCUCGUGCUGGUGGCGGAGGUAUGAGCAUUGGGGAAGCGGCUGACACGGCCACGUACUCCCAAAGACCGGCCGCCGACCCUGCAUCGGCGCCUCAAUGGCCAGCCCCACAGUCCCCUCCCCCCAUCUAACUGGUAAAGGUUCCUCUUCCUCAGUUUUGGCGAGUUAUUCACCUCUCCGCCUUUUCGUUCAUUUGCCAAUCCACGACUGUUUUUCAGCGUAAAAUGGUAAAGAUCAACCAAAUUCUAGGGUUGUUAGAACUCAGCCAUAAAAAUAAAAUAGAAAAGAACUAAAAAGAAAAAAAGAUGAAUAGUAGAUUGAUAAAAUUGUCCGGGGUUCUCAUCUCUGAUCAUCCGUGACCAGCAUAUAUAUAUAUAUAUAUAUAUAUAUGCCGUCGUACACAUGAAUUAACCGGUCCCACACAAAAAUAGGAAAGUUGAACCGAAAGGAAACAAACUAAUAAAACAGAAAUAAUAUCUUUAUCUUUGCAGCCACCCGCGCUAAUCAUGCCUUGUCAUCUGUGAACUGCCGCCUCAGCCGCACACCAACGCAAGCCAAUACGGCUCCUGUGCAUGAGGAGUAAUGCAGCACGCCAAAUUUCUUCUCCACUGCAUGUAUGUGAUCAAAUCAAUCCAGUAUGUACAGAAUGCACAGCAGUAACUCCUCGGUCGUAGCAGCACAUGCAUCACCAUGCCGAUCCAAACACUGCAGCUCCCCAGCAACUCGUACACCUCCAGGUGCAACACAAAUUCCUGCGCAUAUAUCAAGCUAGCUAAUUCUUAAGGAAACCACCUAACGAUUGCACCAACUAUUCUAAAUAAUCUGGCCCGCUCAAAUGAAAUCAACCAUGAGCCAAAUUAUGGCGUAAACACAUCUCCUCUGCCGACCUCCGUGCGCGGCGCUCUUGUAUCGCCGUCAGGCCGCCCGUCGUUGGCUUCAUCUUCAGCAUCCGUUCUGCUCCGCCGGCCUCACCGACGGGGCCAUGCCGUCGUCGUCGCCUCCACUGGCCGACGAUCGCGCCCCGAUGGACAGACGGAUGGCGCAGCUCGGCUCCACCUCUGGCACCGGUCUCCCCCUGCAACCCCCGACUCCUCCGUCUACAGCACCACCGUCGACCGGGGGGGACGAGCUCCCGGCGCUGCUUCUCCGCCGCCGGUCCUCGCCUACCACCUCGCCUGUCUUGCCGGCUGCCGGGACCAUCCUCCGCCGGCUCACCGGACGUUCGCCGCUCGGGAGGAGCCUGUGCGGCUUUGGCUCAAGCGCCUCAAGGGCGGCCUACGAUAUCUCCGAUAUGCUCGACGAAUUCCAGUCCACCGAGCCGGACGCAGGGAAGAAAAAGGGAGUGUUCCACAAACUUGCAACUGCACCUAGCAGGUUUCCUAUGGCUAGUAAGAUGAAGAGGAUGAGAAAGGAAUUGGCAAAGAACACAGAGGAACACAAGAAUUUCAGUUUUGUGCCAAACACUGCUUCCUUUGAGCAGCAUCGUGCAGAUCCGCGGCCUCAAUUACCUGAGUUGACUGAUGAAAGUGUCAUCAUCGGGAGGUCCGAGGACAAAAGAAACAUCAUAGCUGCAUUGCUGACAAGAGGCUCUGAAGAAAGUACCAUUAUUCUUCCUAGGCUGUGUUUAGUUCAGCGUAAAGUUUAGAUUUUGGUUAAAAUUGGAGAUGAUGUGACUGAAAAGUUGUGUGUGUAUGACAAGUUGAUGUGAUGGAAAAGGACUGAAGUUUGGAUCCAAACUUUGGAUCUAAACACAGCCCUAUUUAUGGGAUUGGAGGCAUUGGUAAAACAACGUUGGCACACAUGGUUUUUGAUGACAGCCAUUUCACAAAGUACGAUUUCCA
Oryza sativa Japonica Group (Japanese rice) is the source of this 2491-nucleotide non-coding RNA. Lineage: Eukaryota; Viridiplantae; Streptophyta; Magnoliopsida; Poales; Poaceae. The record is from RefSeq and is a predicted model, not a curated record.